This 700-nucleotide ribosomal RNA is filed under the name uncultured Glomerales. RNAcentral's name for it is "LSU rRNA". It matches the Rfam family "Eukaryotic large subunit ribosomal RNA", at positions 38 to 633 of the family's 3401-position model. Lineage: Eukaryota; Fungi; Glomeromycota; Glomeromycetes; Glomerales; Glomeraceae. The record is from RNAcentral.
GCAUAUCAAUAAGCGGAGGAAAAGAAACUAACAAGGAUUCCCUUAGUAACGGCGAGUGAAGAGGGAAGAGCUCAAAUUUUAAAUCUAUCAUGUUUGUACAUGAUCGAAUUGUAAUUUGAAGAAGCGUUUUCUCGUACUUUAUGCAAUCAGUAUAAGUUCUCUUGGAACAGGACAUCAUAGAGGGUGAUAAUCCCGUCUGUUACUGGUUGUGAGGUUCGUUAUGAUACGCUUUCAAAGAGUCGAGUUGUUUGGGAUUGCAGCUCCAAAUGGGUGGUAAACAUCACCUAAGGCUAAAUAUUUGCGAGAGACCGAUAGCGAACAAGUACCGUGAGGGAAAGAUGAAAAGAACUUUGAAAAGAGAGUUAAAAAGUAUGUGAAAUUGUUGAAAGGGAAACGAUUGAAGUCAGUCGUGCAGUCAUCAAUUCAGCGGUUAACAUUUUUAUGUUUCCGUGUAAUUUGGUGUCUGUUGGUUAGCAUCAAUUUUGAUUGUUAUAAAAAGGUUAAGGGGAUGUGGCUCCUUCGGGAGUGUUAUAACCCUUAGCGUAAUGUGACGAUUAGGAUUGAGGUUUGCAACGAAUACCUUUUAGGGCAGUUUCCCUGGCCUCUCGUGGAAUUAUAGAUAGUUAAGAGCAUGCUUCUUACUGUCUAUGAUUCUACGAAAAGGUUAGUGUAAAACUAAUUCGUUAAGGAUGUUGACGUA